GGGGGUAUAGCACAGUGGUAGAGAAUGUGAUUACAGAUCAAAAAGUCUCAAGUUCAAAUCCUGAUGCUCCCA
This is a non-coding RNA of Pelobates cultripes (western spadefoot toad), 72 nucleotides long. Lineage: Eukaryota; Metazoa; Chordata; Amphibia; Anura; Pelobatidae. The record is from the annotation of a GenBank genome assembly.